Molecule: ribosomal RNA, 253 nt
Filed under: uncultured bacterium
Lineage: Bacteria
Description: partial 16S ribosomal RNA
Rfam family: Bacterial small subunit ribosomal RNA
Source: RNAcentral
UACGGAGGGUGCGAGUGUUGUCCGGAAUCACUGGGCGUAAAGGGCGCGUAGGCGGUCCGGUAAGCGCGUGGUGAAAGCCCGGGGCUCAACCCUCGGAUGCCGGUGGAUACUGUCGGGCUUGAGUACGGAAGAGGCGAGUGGAAUUCCUGGUGUAGCGGUGAAAUGCGCAGAUAUCAGGAGGAACACCAAUUGCGAAGGCAGCUCGCUGGGACGUUACUGACGCUGAGACGCGAAAGCGUGGGGAGCAAACAGG